GGACGGGAGGGUGGCCUAGUUGCUACAUCUGUGCCCCUAUUGUCAGAACUGAUCUGGCUGACCUGGCUGGUUAUGUGACUAUCCCCUUCCUCCCUCACCGCUCUGUGUGUCCUUCCCAAAGUUCUGUGCUUAUUAGAAGAGACUGUCUUUUCCUGAUAGAAGAGGACUGUUCUUUGAUCAAGGGUCUAUGAGUAGCCACACUCCCCUGAUAGACCCUCCAAAUGAGCCCCAGAAAACCCCACAGCAAACAACAGACUUAACAGAAAUACUAAAUGUUUUGUCCCUAUAAUAAGACCAAGAAAGGACAAACCCUCUUCUU
This is a non-coding RNA of Mesocricetus auratus (golden hamster), 319 nucleotides long. The record is from Rfam. NCBI's taxonomy places the organism in Eukaryota, Metazoa, Chordata, Mammalia, Rodentia, Cricetidae.